Molecule: ribosomal RNA, 433 nt
Filed under: uncultured bacterium
Lineage: Bacteria
Description: bacterial SSU rRNA
Rfam family: Bacterial small subunit ribosomal RNA
Source: RNAcentral
GAACGCGAAGAACCUUACCAGGUCUUGACAUCCCUCUGACCUCUUUAGAGAUAGAGAUUUCCUUCGGGACAGAGGUGACAGGUGGUGCAUGGUUGUCGUCAGCUCGUGUCGUGAGAUGUUGGGUUAAGUCCCGCAACGAGCGCAACCCCUAUUGUUAGUUGCCAUCAUUCAGUUGGGCACUCUAGCGAGACUGCCGGUAAUAAACCGGAGGAAGGUGGGGAUGACGUCAAAUCAUCAUGCCCCUUAUGACCUGGGCUACACACGUGCUACAAUGGCUGGUACAACGAGUCGCAAGCCGGUGACGGCAAGCUAAUCUCUUAAAGCCAGUCUCAGUUCGGAUUGUAGGCUGCAACUCGCCUACAUGAAGUCGGAAUCGCUAGUAAUCGCGGAUCAGCACGCCGCGGUGAAUACGUUCCCGGGUCUUGUACACACC